This 7250-nucleotide long non-coding RNA is filed under the name Sorghum bicolor (sorghum). RNAcentral describes it as "long non-coding RNA (SBIC_LNC010033)". Lineage: Eukaryota; Viridiplantae; Streptophyta; Magnoliopsida; Poales; Poaceae. The record is from RNAcentral.
CGGCAGCUCGAACUCCAAUACCGUCACGCCCUUGGGUACACCUAUGUAUGCAUGACAAGGAGAUAAAUAUAGAGAAUGCACAUAUGAUGCAUGAUGUCAUGAUAAAGAGCCAAAGGAACACACAACAAGGUAUAAACAUGAGCAUAACUCCUAAGAUUAGGUGAAUCAUGGAAUAACAAGUAAGUGCAUACUUCUUCUCUGGUAGAGAGGCUAGCUAGACAAGUUAAUCAACCUUAGCUACUCCUACUCAGUCACUGGUUUCAUAGACAAACCAACUUGUCAUAAGUUUCAGCUAUAGCUUAAGCAUCAUUUGGCCAAACUAAGCAAGUAGAUACUUUCAAGAAAGCUUAGCAAAUUAUCUACAAUUCACUUUUAGACAUCCCAAAAUGAUUCCCAGUCGAAAUAUGUUAAAACAUACAAAGUUGGCUGGCUAUCCUAGAAAAUCCAGAGAGCAAGCACUUUGCAGCAGCUACUUGUAAUAUUCAUAACUUUUAAAUUACUCAACCAAAUGUCAUGAAACUUGGACAAGAAGUAGAUAAGCAAGUUAGCUACAAGUUUGUUGUAUACAAGUUUCCCAGAAAACAUCAUCUUCAAUUAGUUCUUAAGCAAUUGCUAUCAGCUACACAGAAUUGCUCUAGGAAAGGCAUAAAUAGCAAAAAUAAUAUUUUGCACAUAACAAGAAUGUAUCAAAGGGUCAAUCCAAAUGCACCAGUAGAUGGAACAUGUCUAAGAAACACUAGAAAACAUCAUGGCAAUGUCUAAACUCAUUUCUAUCAUCACCUUUUUCAUUUAUUUAAUUAUUAAGGUAAUUUAAUGAACAUGCAGCCCAAGUGCUCCAAGAAUUUUGAGAAACUUACAGCAAGCUACUUAUGCUAACACAAGCUUACUGUAAAAUUUUUAGGGCACUUGCACAUACAGCUUGUGAGAUACAAAAAUAACAAGCUAGCAAAGGCAUGCAAGGCAUAAAUGUGAAACCCUAACAAAAAGUGUCAAACAACAGAUUUCAGAUUUUUCCUAGCUUUGUUUACCCAUGAGUGUAACACUCAGCAAGUUUCACCACAAAAGGAGCUAUAACUUAAUUAUUAAAAAUACCACAAGAAACUCCUAUUUGAUCAAGAAUUAUUUAUAACUUCACAAUCCGGCCUCCAAAAAUCAUGAUAAAUUUAUCAGAGCUCAUAUCAUAAGUAACAACACCCUAAAUUUGCAUGGCCAACAGAUCAACAGAUCUCAAGAUAUAAUUACCUUCUAAUAAUCCAAGAUUAAAUUAUAUCUAUUUAUUUCCACAAAAACAUGGCAUGUUUCAUAUUUGUAUUAAAAACUAGACUUAUACAGGAACCUAACAAAAUUGGAAUCACAUCAUUUGGAUCUAUAAAACUCCAGAUAUGAAUUUUACAAAAACAGCAAAGAAUCUGCUACACAGUGACCAGGGAUGUGAGAGGGAGAGACUGACACACGGGACCCACACGACAGAGAGACAGAGACAGGGGAGAUGCUCGUCGCCGGCGAAACUCGACGACGGCGAGGUCUCGGUCGGAUCCAAGGGUAUCUACGUGCUCCUCUCCUCAAGGCGGACUCGGUGACCUACUUUACCCGUGCUCUACUGGACCCUAGGGUGCUCGCCGUCGGGAAUGGCGGAGCGGCGGUGCUGCGCGGCGUUACGCCGGCGAACCUAGGCAACGGCGACGCAGUGGAGGUUCACGCCGAGCAUCAGUGAGCCAAGGGAAAGCGAUAGGAACAAGAAUGGAGGGAAAUGGUGGAGCAGAGAGGCCGGGCCACGUCGCCGAUGAGCUCGGGCGGAACUCCGGCGAGGGAGAACGGCUCGGAGCUCGGCAAUGCCGCCUCACCUGUGCUCGACAGUGGCUAAGGAGGUGACGCCGAGGUAGAGGAAGCUCUGGCGAAGCUUUUGGCGGGCUGGCUUGGCCGGAGGCGCGGUGGAGCGGCCGGAAAAGCUCGCCGAGGCGCGGCGGAGCUAACCGAGGCGAUGGCAGAGCGAAAUGGGAGGCUCUGGUGGAGUGGAUGUCGCGUCUGAGGCACGGGGUGGCUCCGUGGCAGCUUGAAGGCUUCAUCCAAGCUGACAGGCGGGACCGUCGAUGGCGUACCGCCGACACCUGGCCGGACACGCGGCGGCGGACAGCGUCUGUCCAAAACUGAAUCGAUGAUUCAGUCACCGGCGUCAGUGACUGAAACCCAAAGUUUAACAACGUUUUACUCUCACCUCAAUCGAUGAUUUUGGCUCGAAUUUGAUCCUCUGGAUAGAGCUACACGAGUUCUACAAGUUUGCUUACAAGAUCAAAGCCUAACUCGGUCUGGAUUUCAAUCUACAAGGCUCCCAACAACCCUACCUCGAAACUGUGUGAUUCAAGACUUAGCCAAAUUCGGCUAAGUGUGAAAUCAGCCCUGAUUUUUGGCUUGUGAGCAACUUUCGAAUGUGUUCCAUGCUUUUUAAUGAAAAGUCAUCAACAUAACAUUUGUAGCUUAUCCAAUUUACUACAACUUUGUUUUAGGUGUCAUUUACAUGCAAGGUCUCUAACACCAGUUUCAUAAAACAUCUUUGAAAAGAGGUCUAGGGGGUCAAUUAGGUCAAUCUAGGGUUAACCAUGACUUAGGGGCAUUUUUGGCCAAAACUUUCAACUUGAACUUUGUUCAAAAUAUUGUUCUAAACAUGAUUAAAGUAUUUUGGAAGAUAAUGUACAUUUGUAAGCAUUGGUCCUCUACUAGAAUCACUCAAAUCAAGCCACACAAGUAAUUUUAAUCAUACAUGGGACACAUAAGGUGACAUGUGAUCAUGAUGUAUGCUUGUGAAUGAGCAUGAUGAUGCUUAUGUUGAUGCAAUGCUCAUGGUUAACAUGCAAGCUAACACUAGGAGUGUUACAGUAAUUAACCAAGGACCAUGUACGAUGAAGCAGGCCUUGAGUUGUUGCCAAAACAGGCCACCUCAACAAUUAUCUAAAACCAAACUUGGGCUUUCAACCACCAAUAGUAACAAAACUUCACAGCUCAAAUGAUCCCCAAGUGCCACUAGAUGCAAUCACUCAUAUAAAUGCACUUAGAAACACUCUCAAUCUCACAAAGAUGGUGAAUCUAUGAAGAAGAUGAGCGGAAGGUGUUUGCUGAGGCUCACAAGGAUGUCAAGUAUGUCAAAGUGCCAAGAGAGACAACCAUGAGCCGACUACCAUGUAUUUAUAGCCCCCUAGAAAAAUAGAGUUGUUAGGCUCUGAAAUCUACCACUAUCGAGGGCGUCGGAUGCUCCAGUGCUUAGGUGUUAGACACACCCACUCGUUCGAUGCUACUCUAUCAGCAGCUCUUGAUUGCUGUCACAUUGAUCUCCAAUGGUCACUUAAAUGUUAAAGCACUUGUGCAGGAGGCAUCGAGCGUGCUAUGUGCCAUGCAUCGAAUGCUACCAAGAGAGGUCUAAAACUACUCAGAUAUGCAUCGAAUGUGUCCGACGGUAGGCCAUCGAACACAACCAGCGUCCAACGCACACACCGCUCAAAAACCUCACUCACGGCCCUGCUAAUGUCACUGCUCACUGGACUCUCAAUUGUGUUCCAGCCGUGUCUGGUGCCAAAGUGUUGGACACGUUAGUGACCCUUGGAGACAUGCACAGUACAACCAACACUACAUCAAAUCUAGGUCCAACAUUCGAUGUUUCUGGCCUCAAUGUCUGAUGACUCUUUCUCAGCGAGAAAUGUUCCCACAACUUUGCCUCCCGUGUAGUGGAAAAAAGGCAUUUCAUUUCCAUGAAAACACUGAAUCUCGUCUCGCAAGCUUGGUGGGAGGGAGAGAGGAUCCCAAACCCCUCUCCACCUCUUAAACCCCACCUCCUUUGCAAAUGUGGCAACACCACCAUAUGGAAAACAUGAUGUGCAUAUGUGUUAGCAUUUUCACAAACAUUUUCUUCAAAGGAGUUGAGUUAGCUCACUAGGUUCUAAACGCAUACACAUGAACAAUGUCACCUAGUGGCACUGAAUAGACUACUUAGCUAAAGAAUUCCCCUCUUUAAAGUACAGCUAUUUAUCCCAAGUGUGAUCACACCCUCUAUGGUGUCUUGAUCACCAAAACCAAAACCCUAAGCAAUACCUUUGCCUUGGUCUCCAAAGGGUUUUGUUUUUCACCUUCUUCUUUCCAAAUUGAGCACUUCAUCAUCUUGUGGUGAUCACCACCAUCACCAUGAUCCUCUAGGCUCCACCACUUGGCAUGUACCAACCUCAAUUAAUCUACACGUACUUAGCAUAGAGGUUAGUACUUUAGGUUUCAUUAAUUAUCCAAAACUAAACUUGGGCUUUCACCCGGCCCCUCGUAAGUCCCACCUAAUAGGAGCGUCUAGAAUAUUCCUCCACUACCUCCUAGGGUUGCAUCUUGUCACACCCUGGCUUUUAAAAUAUGACCAGAGUCGUCAUAUGUGUGCCCAGGAAGUCCACACAUACAACAAAGAAUAGAAAUAUCAGAAAACAAUGUUAUAUAUAGCGGAAAACAUAUUUAUAUUAACACUUACAAACAUCAGAGUACGCGGAAACAGUAGCUAGAACUUUUUAGGCUCCAUUCUUCUCAGGGACGGUUGACUGGGGGCUCCGUACGCCAAGCACUUCUGAUAUACUUCUAGAAAACUCCAUAGCAUCUUUGUUCUUCUUCUGAGCAGCACUUCACUACACACUGGGGGUGUGGGGGGAUAGCAAGGGUGAGUUCAUGUCGAACUCAACAAGCACAGACGGAAAGUAAUGACAUGCAAGGCUUAAAACAAGGUAAAGCUGACUUGGUUUGACUGUGGUAGCAUUUUAGUUGAUCACUUUUAAUUAUGACUAUUAUUAGAACAACCUAUUACUAAUUAUGAGUAGCAUAAACCCAACCCUUAAUUAGUGUAAGUAGUAAUUAGCAUCUUUUUAAAUGACUAUCCUAAUAAUUAUAGAAGUCCAGGGAUUAACCCCAAUUAUUAACACAGGAUAGCAAUCCUGCCAACGCGGAAUAGUCAUUCCGCCAAAACACGAGGUAGCAACCUCGCCAAGUUCCAUCUCCAAGUAACCAGUGAAUCCAAUUUGCUCAUCAAGUGAGGGUCUGGGCCGCUCGUGACCGUGAGCACGGCUGAUAUAUCAGUUUUACACUCUGCAGAGGUGUGCAUGUUCACUCCAAGUCAUGAUUCCCAUUUGCCCGGGGUCAUGACUCCCCAAAACACUGCCAAGGUGAGCAGGCAUGGUCUCACUACGAGACCUUUCACAGGGUCCAACUAAUAGGAUGCCACUCGCAAGUUUUUGCCGGGGCGCUCGGGAGUCGAUACCCAGAGCCAUGGCGUACCGAUCAACCGACAACUUAAUAUUCAUUACCCAAGUUACUUCCUCACGCCUACCCGGAAAGUAACACCCUACUAGUGGAGGUCCUGCUAAUUAGUCAAGCCAGAGCCAUAUAGCUUGGAGCUGCACUAUAUGUCCCAGGGGGCCGCUCCCUGACUAAGUCCUUAUGGAGAGCAGAGACGGGUACGCCCGGCAAACCGGACCACCAACAGUACCCGCUCCCCCUGUCACCACCAUCAUCACGAUGCUCGUAAGCAUCCAACAUCGCCAUCACCGCAGUGACCAAAAGUUCAGCACAGUUUAAGCAUCAAGUUGAGUAGAGAUUAUUACUUGUUUAGGCAUGUGUAUAAGAUGAGUAGAGCAGCUAAGCAAACCUAGUAUAGCCUAGACUACCCAUAUACAUAACCCCAGGUGAACAAGGAAUAGUAAGUAAAGCUAGUCAUGUCCUUAGGGUUUGCAUUCAUUGGACACAUGCAUGUAAAGUAAAUGACAUUAAUGAGUAGGUUCAAAAUGAUCAAACGGUGUCUGCACUUGCCUUUAUUCCCAGUGUAUAUCUGCUCAGAAUUCUUUGGCUUCUUUCUUCUAAUCUUCAACUUCUGCUUCGACUGUCGGUCCUUAGCUCCUCGUCUUCACUAUUGACGAACCACGCUCCUUCUACUCGUAGCAACCAAGUAACACAAACAGACAAACAACAAUCACGACUAAGAACAAGCAUCAAUCAAAAGAAAAGCUUUAAAAAAAGAAGAGCGCAAUAAACGACACGGCUUAUUGUUAUAAUUGUGACAACAUAAGAAAGAUUGAGAACGGAGCUAUCGUUAAACGGACACGACUAUUGGGGCUUGCAACAAAACAGAGAGAAGACAGACUAUACGUUGGUCGUAUUUUAUUAGAUGAAAUAAUAUGACAGACAUUUAAUAGAACUAUCCUAAUUAGAUUAACCAAAUUAUGUUGAAUUAUAAAAGCCGGAGUUAAAUUUUAGUUAUAUUUUAAUUGUAGAUGGUUAUAUAUCCUUUAAGCCAUUUACGCCUUUGUAAUUUUAGAAAACAUAAAGCAAGUAAGAGCAGCUAAUCAAAUCCUAACAUGCGUCGCAUUUAUAUUAAACAAGUUAUAACUAAUAAAGAACCAUUUAAGUUGAUAUUAAUAAUGUUAACAUUUAUUUAUUUAUAAAAGAUCUAAAUUAUAAACAUAGGUUAUUUUUAAUCCAAAAAGACAUUAAAUAAAUAUUAAACAAAUUAAUUCUAUACUUUAUGUCUAACUAAAAGAAUUAUAAUUAAUAAAUAUUUAAGUUAACUUCAAUCAAGUUAAUAUUAGAUUGUAAAAAUAGCGAAGUGUAAACCUAAAUUGUUUUUUGUUAAUUAAAAAAUGACAUUCAAAAAAAUAUUAAUUAAACUAAUUAUAUUUAUAAACAUGGGACAUGGAAAACAGUAUCGCUAAUAAGUCAUUUACGUUGCCAUGGUCAUAAAACAAUAGAAAACAUGAUUAUAACUCUAUAUUGCUUUUAAUUAUAAAAUUAGGUGCAUAUAUUAAUUAAUCUAAUAUUCAAUUAAAUAUGGAAAAAAAUAUAUGACAUAAUAAAAGUUAGCACUACUGCGUAGAGCGCGACGUUACGAAACUAACGCAAUUGAAACGGAAUGAAACAGAGUUAGAACGAUUAAAUGGCGAAGGAUUAAUAACCAGUGGCAAACUUGUAAAUAUGUCUUCUUCUACCUUAAACUCUCGUACCACCACAGCCAUGGCAACAUGCUGGUUGCUGCACACGGUGGGGAAGGGAGAUGGGGCCUCGUCCUGCGGCAGUAGGCGGCUAGUCGGAGGUGCCAGACCGUUGCGGAUUCAGGCCACGUGGAGUUGGGCUGGUCCGCAUGACCUUGCAAGGACCGGCGGCGGCCUGCCUGCUCGAGCAGCACCCGCUGCUCCAGCUUGCGGGGCAGGGGCUAGGGCGAGGGUCGGCGGGAGGGUGGCCAGCAG